This 1534-nucleotide long non-coding RNA is filed under the name Triticum aestivum (bread wheat). Its description in RNAcentral is "long non-coding RNA (TAES_LNC001291)". Lineage: Eukaryota; Viridiplantae; Streptophyta; Magnoliopsida; Poales; Poaceae. The record is from RNAcentral.
AACAAUUAAAUAAACCUAAAUUAUUUAAUGGGGCCUACAUGUCAUCUACUACUAGACUAACCUAGCACUAAUUAAUACUACUUAGUAAUACUUUUUUUUCGAUAGCACGCGAAAAGCGUGCCUUACUUUUAUAGAAGAGAGCAGAAAAGCAAUGUACAAGAGACCUUGGGUGAAUACAGACAAACCCCCAAGACCAACACCCCAACACACCCCCUAACUAAUGCAAGCCUACUGUCUCACAAAACCCAGCGAAACGUCCUUCUCCUAGGCCGGCCGCCUUCCACUCCCGCAACUCUCCAGUAAUAGACCUCGCCAAAUCCGGCGCAUUAAGCUGCUGGUUAGUUCUAUUAAAGACUCUCGCAUUACGCUGCUUCCAUAUAGCCCAAAUCACCGCAAUCACCACCGUUGCUGCUUCCAUAUAGCCCAAAUCACCGCAAUCACCACCGUGUCAAAGCCUCUCUUGGCGUCACGGCUCCAUCUUGCACGUUGUGCCAACCAUCAAUCCAAGAGUUGAUCCUGCACAUCCGGAAUGGUUGCCUGCAAGCCCAAAGCAUCAAACAUGAUAUGCCGCUAUCUAGUAAUACUAAUCUAAGCAUGCAUUAUUAGACUAGCUAGCCACAUGCACGGCGCGCACCUACACAGCCCUUCACACAGACACACACACACAAAGCACGCACACACACCACGUUGCACACACACGGCACGGCCAUGGCCUUUAGCAGGCACCAGCAGCAGAGCAACACUAGCAGUAGCAGCCGCGACAACUAGCGGGAGAAGCAGUAGUAAGCAGCAGCACCACGCAACAGUAGGCAAGAGCAGCGGCGGCGGCUAGGAAUAGCAGCAGCAGUAGGAAAAAGCAGCGCAGCAGCAUGCAUCAGUAGGCGGCGGUGAGAGCGGGAUGUUGCGGGGUGACGCCGACGCGACCGGGCGAAGGCAGGCGCGGCCCCGGCGGGCGCGGCCGGGGCCAGCGGGCGUGAAUGGCGGCGGCGGACAGGGCCAACAGCGGCGCAGCAGUAGACGACCUUGAGGCCAGGCGCGGGCGAGACGCAGCAAGCUAGGCGAGGCCGGAGGCGAGCAAGCGCGGCCAGGGCGUGGCCCAAACGUCCGGCAGCAGCAAGUAGGCAUGGCCAUGGGCAGCAGCACCACGUACGCGUACGCGGACGAGCUCGGAGAUGGCGGCUACGGCAACAAAUCAAGGGGGUAAUGAAGGAGGAUGGACGCGGCUCACUGCGAGGGAGGUCGUGGACGUGCUCGGAACCGCCGGGAGGCGUCGGUGGUGGAGAUCGACGGCGAUGGUGGGGGCGGCUGACAGGAGAAGACCGCGCGAUGGCGAGGCAGCAGGCCGUCCGAGCUCCAACCGAUAGGCGAUGGCGACGGAGACGACGAUGGCGGAGCUCCUGGACGUCUUGGCGCGACGAAGGGAGGCCGGUGGCCACGAGAUCGACGACGAUGACGACGACCGCGAGCUCGGCCUCUUCCAGGUCGUCGAAUAUGAGCGAGGGAGAGGGGGAUUUGGGGACUAGGGUUGUCUCAC